AAUGGAGGCAACUCUGAUCCAGCAAUGCCGCGUGUGUGAUGAAGGCCCUAGGGUUGUAAAGCACUUUCAACGGUGAAGAUGAUGACGGUAGCCGUAGAAGAAGCCCCGGCUAACUUCGUGCCAGCAGCCGCGGUAAUACGAAGGGGGCGAGCGUUAUUCGGAAUUAUUGGGCGUAAAGGGCUCGCAGGCUGCUUGAACAGUUAGACGUGAAAUCCCCGGGCUUAACCUGGGAACUGCGUUUAAUACUAGCAAGCUAGAGAAAUAGAGAGGAAAGUGGAACUCCCAGUGUAGAGGUGAAAUUCGUAGAUAUUGGGAAGAACACCAGUGGCGAAAGCGACUUUCUGGCUAUUUUCUGACGCUGAGGAGCGAAAGCGUGGGGAGCAAACAGGAUU
Molecule: ribosomal RNA, 392 nt
Filed under: uncultured Gammaproteobacteria bacterium
Lineage: Bacteria; Pseudomonadati; Pseudomonadota; Gammaproteobacteria
Description: bacterial SSU rRNA
Rfam family: Bacterial small subunit ribosomal RNA
Source: RNAcentral